Molecule: ribosomal RNA, 495 nt
Filed under: uncultured bacterium
Lineage: Bacteria
Description: partial 16S ribosomal RNA
Rfam family: Bacterial small subunit ribosomal RNA
Source: RNAcentral
GACGAACGCUGGCGGCGUGCCUAAUACAUGCAAGUAGAACGCUGAAGGAGGAGCUUGCUUCUCUGGAUGAGUUGCGAACGGGUGAGUAACGCGUAGGUAACCUGCCUGGUAGCGGGGGAUAACUAUUGGAAACGAUAGCUAAUACCGCAUAAUAGUAGAUGUUGCAUGACAUUUGCUUAAAAGGUGCAAUUGCAUCACUACCAGAUGGACCUGCGUUGUAUUAGCUAGUUGGUGAGGUAACGGCUCACCAAGGCGACGAUACAUAGCCGACCUGAGAGGGGGAUCGGCCACACUGGGACUGGGACACGGCCCAGACUCCUACGGGAGGCAGCAGUAGGGAACCUUCGGCAAUGGACGGAAGUCUGACCGAGCAACGCCGCGUGAGUGAAGAAGGUUUUCGGAUCGUAAAGCUCUGUUGUAAGAGAAGAACGAGUGUGAGAGUGGAAAGUUCACACUGUGACGGUAUCUUACCAGAAAGGGACGGCUAACUACGUG